CGGCCCGUACCCUAAACCGACUCAGGUGGUCAGGUAGAGAAUACCGAGGCGUUCGGGUGAACUAUGGUUAAGGAACUCGGCAAAAUGCCCCCGUAACUUCGGGAGAAGGGGGGCCACACCUGGUGAAGGAACUUGCUUCCUAAGCUGGGGGUGGCCGCAGAGACCAGCGAGAAGCGACUGUUUACUAAAAACACAGGUCCGUGCGAAGCCGUAAGGCGAUGUAUACGGACUGACGCCUGCCCGGUGCUGGAACGUUAAGGGGACCGGUUAGCUCCAUUUCGGUGGGGCGAAGCUGAGAACUUAAGCGCCAGUAAACGGCGGUGGUAACUAUAACCAUCCUAAGGUAGCGAAAUUCCUUGUCGGGUAAGUUCCGACCUGCACGAAUGGCGUAACGACUUCUCGACUGUCUCAACCAUAGGCCCGGUGAAAUUGCACUACGAGUAAAGAUGCUCGUUUCGCGCAGCAGGACGGAAAGACCCCGGGACCUUUACUACAGUUUGAUAUUGGUGUUCGGUUCGGCUUGUGUAGGAUAGGUGGGAGACUGUGAAGCCGUGACGCCAGUCAUGGUGGAGUCGUCGUUGAAAUACCACUCUGGUCGUGCUGGAUGUCUAACCUCGGUCCGUGAUCCGGAUCAGGGACAGUGUCUGAUGGGUAGUUUAACUGGGGCGGUUGCCUCCCAAAGGGUAACGGAGGCGCCCAAAGGUUCCCUCAGCCUGGUUGGCAAUCAGGUGUUGAGUGUAAGUGCACAAGGGAGCUUGACUGUGAGACCGACGGGUCGAGCAGGGACGAAAGUCGGGACUAGUGAUCCGGCGGUGGCUUGUGGAAGCGCCGUCGCUCAACGGAUAAAAGGUACCCCGGGGAUAACAGGCUGAUCUUCCCCAAGAGUCCAUAUCGACGGGAUGGUUUGGCACCUCGAUGUCGGCUCGUCGCAUCCUGGGGCUGGAGUCGGUCCCAAGGGUUGGGCUGUUCGCCCAUUAAAGCGGUACGCGAGCUGGGUUUAGAACGUCGUGAGACAGUUCGGUCCCUAUCCGCUGUGCGCGUAGGAAUAUUGAGAAGGGCUGUCCCUAGUACGAGAGGACCGGGACGGACGAACCUCUGGUGUGCCAGUUGUCCUGCCAAGGGCAUGGCUGGUUGGCUACGUUCGGGAGGGAUAACCGCUGAAAGCAUCUAAGCGGGAAGCCUGCUUCGAGAUGAGUAUUCCCACCCACUUGAUGGGGUAAGGCUCCCAGUAGACGACUGGGUUGAUAGGCCGGAUGUGGAAGCCCUGCAAAGGGUGGAGCUGACCGGUACUAAUAGGCCGAGGGCUUGUCCUC
This 1313-nucleotide ribosomal RNA is filed under the name Streptomyces bikiniensis. RNAcentral's name for it is "bacterial LSU rRNA". It matches the Rfam family "Bacterial large subunit ribosomal RNA", at positions 1638 to 2925 of the family's 2925-position model. Lineage: Bacteria; Bacillati; Actinomycetota; Actinomycetes; Kitasatosporales; Streptomycetaceae. The record is from RNAcentral.